CCUACGGGCGGCAGCAGUGGGGAAUCUUCGGCAAUGGGCGCAAGCCUGACCCAGCAACGCCGCGUGAAGGAAGAAGGCUUUCGGGUUGUAAACCUCUUUUGACAGGGAAGAGUGGAAGACGGUACCUAUCGUAUAAGCCAUGGCCAACUACGUGCAAGCAGCCGCGGCUAUACGUAGGUGGCAAGCGUUGGCCGGAUUUACGGGGUGAAAAGGGCGUGUAGUCGGGUUGAAAAGUCAGAUGUGAAAUCCUUGGGGUUAAACGAAGAACUGCAUUGGAAACUGUUGAUCUUGAGUACUGGAGAGGCAGACGGAAUUCCUAGUGUAGCGGUGAAAUGCGUAGAUAUUAGGAGGAACACCAGUGGCGAAGGCGGUCUGCUGGACAGCAACUGACGGUGAGGCGCGAAAGCGUGGGGAGCAAACAGGAUUAGAUACCCCGGUAGUC
This 442-nucleotide ribosomal RNA is filed under the name uncultured bacterium. RNAcentral's name for it is "partial 16S ribosomal RNA". It matches the Rfam family "Bacterial small subunit ribosomal RNA", at positions 338 to 795 of the family's 1533-position model. The record is from RNAcentral.